RNAcentral lists this long non-coding RNA (3818 nucleotides) under Solanum tuberosum (potato). Its description in RNAcentral is "long non-coding RNA (STUB_LNC009945)". The record is from RNAcentral. Lineage: Eukaryota; Viridiplantae; Streptophyta; Magnoliopsida; Solanales; Solanaceae.
GCACGGCUUGAAAUGGUCUGCUAAAUAAAAAGUAGAUACACGUGUUCAAUAGUAAUGAAAUAGACCUGUGUAGAAGUUGUUACCCUACAAAAACGACAACAACCUGAGAAGUUAUGAUAUUCACUUAACUUAUUUUUGUGCAUCAUUCAAAAGCUCCAAAACAGUCAUAUAAUAAACAUUAUGGUCUCAAGUUAUUGCUUCCCAUUGUCAUAUAAGUAUUCUUUAAUUCAUUAGUGUGCAAUUCGUAUAUACAAAUAUGACAAAAGACAGUCAAGUUACUUAUAAAAGUUGAAUCUAAAGAUGAAGUGUUCUCUAAGUUUUGAAUCACAAUGCUAAAUCUAGAAUUUAUAUCCAAGAAUAACUACUUAAUACAAUACCAUAAUCAGUACACAAAACAGAACACUAAGAUUUUUUUUGCAUGAAAAAGGCACCCAAAAUUUAAAAGGUUUGAUAAAGGUAUGUGAGAUUGUAUCUAAAGGACUUGAAAAUCUUUAAAUCAACCCCUCCUCUUACUUUGUUCUUCUUGUUGUUCUGCUUCUAAAGUGUUCACUUUAAGGACAACAUGUAAGGAGUAAGCUGGCAGUGUUGAAACUCUCUUCCCAAUAGCAGUUUUAUAGAUGCUCGAUCUGGAGAUAAGUUAAUUGGCAUAUUAGUAUACUUAAUUUUGGUACAAAGAACUUGGAGAACAUUAAAGUAGGUAAUAAUUACAUGAACUAUACUUAGAACUCGAAGUCUACAAUAAUAGUUAAGUAGUAGAAUGAGGAAGAGACUAUGCAAAUCAGUAGAGGCCAAAUGUACAGCACAAUUUGUAAGGUUUUAGUAUAACAAUUUAAUGCAGUGUUCGUCCUCAAGCUUGUUUACUUACGGAAACCUUACAAGUAUUUGAGAAGGUAAACAAAAGGGUAGGUUUUUAUCUUGUUAUUCUGAAAUUCUCUUAAUAUCUGAUUUCCACAUAAAGAUACAUGAGUUUCAACCUUUUGAGUAUCAAUUCAUCUAUAAGGAGGCUUAUGUAAAGUUCAUUUGAUGAAUCUACGUAUUCUUGAGGGAGUUUUCCUAGCCAGACCACUAAUGGUGAUCUCUCUUACAUGGGUCCUUUUUUCUCAAUUCCUUUUUUCCCUUCCGGCUUCAUCCAUAUAUAAUCUUAAAUAUAUUUUGAUCAAAGUUCCUUUGGGAAAGUCAAUUGUCAAAUUCAAAAUCUAAUGAAAAUGAAUGUGUCAUCAAUUAUGUUGCUCGAACUCUUUAAAAAUGUCAACGGAUGCAUGUCAGAUUCAGUGGCGUAUGCAGGAUUUUUCAUAAGCGGUGUCACCUUUUAAAAUGAGAAAAUAAAUAAAAUAAUAUAAACCAUAUUUUUAAAAAAACACAAAUAAAACACAAUUCAUGUAUAUUAUUAUAGUUUUUUUCAAUUGAGUUUUUUUUUAUGAAAUGUAUUUAAAUUAAUCUCCUUGAUAAUAUUAUACUAAGUUUUUGUUUAUACAAACAACAUACCAAAUAAUUACUAAACAAAGAAGGUCAGAGAAAAAAAAACAUAAAAAACGAAGCUAUGUAGGAUUGAACACGCAACCUAGCCUAAGGAAUUUCAGCACAAAACCAACUAAGCUACGUACUUCUAUCGUUCUAGCAGUUUCACUUGUAUUAUAUACACGCUAUAUUUGCUUUUGUUUCUUAACCUAUUUAGCAUUUUUUUCCGACGAAGCAGUGUCACGUGACACCCCUUUUCCCUUACUAAAUCCACCCUUGACUCAGAUUCUCCAAAAGUAGGGUAUUUUUAGAGAAUCCGACACAAGUGCGGUGCGGCAUCAUCAGUGAAGAGUCCGCACAACGUAAGUCAUCCAUACUCCCAUUGAUACAAUAACAAAUAAAUUGAUAUCACAAUCGACUAUAUAAUUAUAAUAGAAAAGCAAGCAUGCAUAAUCACAUAAAAACAAAAGAAACUGAAUAUACCAAACAAUUUAGAGAGAUCCAGAAGAGAAGAGUAACCGGGAAAAAAGCUAACCUUUUGCUGCGCUAAUUAGUUGAAGUUCCUAAAUACUACUUCUAAAAAGAUCAUAUUUGUACCUUGUGAGAAUUCUAAUAAAAAACUUAUCACAUAUAUGAAUUUGUACGAAUAAGAACACACAAGUGUAUAUGUCUGUCAAAUAAACCUAAACUCUGCUUUUUCACAAUAUCAAUAAUUAAAAAUACAAACUUCUUAUUACAUGUUCAAAGAAAAGAAAUGGAAACCUCAUUUGCACACCAAAAAUAAAUACAACAACAACACAGUAUAGUCAUAAUUGAGCACAAGCAUGUACAAAAGCAACUAAGCGAAGAGGCAAAAGUACAAAACAAUCGGAUCUAACAUCAAUUAGCCGAUGAAGUAAUUGAAAGUAAUACCAUAAUUCUGGUUUUUACGAAAUUUGAUGCCAAAGAUUCAAAAAUAACAUGCAUCAAAUAAUAAACCACUUACCCAUGAAACUAAAGUUCAUAUAGAAUCCAAGAAAAAUUCACAAACAGAUGUUCAGAGCAAAGAAAAAAAUUGUAAUAAAAAUAUAUAAAAAACGCAGAGGAAAAAUUUAAAUCCCUAGAAUAGAAAUCCAUACCAAUGAAUAAAUAAGUUACAAAUCUAAAUUGUUUAUAUACAUCCAUGUACGUAGAUGUUGGUAGGGGUAGAUGCAUAUAAAAAGGCUACAUGUAAAUGGUCCCUUAUAUAGAUUCACCAAGAUGGUGAAUAGCUUAAAUAAGGAUUGUGCUUGUUGUUCUUUCAUGUAAUAUUUAUAUCCAUUUAUGAAGAAUCUAAGUUAUACCGUGUGAAAUCUCUUUCUAAUAUCAAAUCCGAAAGCAAAAUGCUCAAAGUACUCAAAAUGUCAACAAUCACGAAGGUGAAAUACUCUAAAAUAUGAAAUCAAACUUCAUGAUUUGAGACAAACUUCAAAACAUAAUCACUUUUUCACACACUAACCACCACCAAUAUACUAAUCCUAUUUAUAAGCCCAUAAAAAAUCUCAUAUAAUAUUUAACUUUGAAAAAAACGAACAAAGCUCACAGCUAAAAACAUCAAAUUUAAGGUAGUUUUUUACAAAAUAAUGGGUUAAAAUCAAACCUUGAUGAAGAGAAGUGAUGGUUAAGCUUUGAAGUGUCGAUACGGCAGCCAUGGUUGCAAGAAAUUGAAGAAAUUGUGGGUUCUCUGCAUGGAGAUGGCUAAUAUGAAGGGAGAGUGAGAAAGAUGAAUCUGAAACAGAGCACAUAGAGACUCAAUUAGUGUUUGCUUCAAACUAAUGACAGUAAACAAAUUAAGGUGGGGGAUUUCUGUACAUUAAAAAAAUAAUUUGGAAACAUACAUGAGUAAAUAAAAUCUAAUUAGGAACUUGACAUUACAAAAUUCUACAAUAAACUACUGAAAAAGCAGAAAAUGCAUAAUAAAAGAAAUGGAAACAAAAUACCCUACAAAUUAUGACUAUCAAAAAUGUAAACUUGCAAAAGAAUAAAGAGAUAAGUGAGAAGAAUAAGAAGGGCAAAACCAAUUUCAAGCAUCCAUGAGUAGUUUAAACCAAUUUAGGAACAUGCAAGAAGUAAAUCCUACAAUAACACAUUCAGAAAUCAGAAAAUCUAAUAAAAAAGACCCCAAGAACCGGAAACAAAUACCCAUUAGGAAUUGAAGGAUAAAAGUAGGUAUUUCAGGAUUAUAUUAUAGAAUAAACAUAAAUCUUUGAAGAGAAAAAAUAGAUGAAAAGGGGCAAAUACUCACCAGUUUGAAGCGUGAAAAGAGAGAGAGAGGAAUGGAGAAUAUGUUUUGAUGAAAAGGGGGAGCUACUUUUAGUUCUUUCCAUGUGGGUAUAAAGUGA